UUUUUUUUUACCUAUUAUUGAAUAUUGGAUACUUUUCUUGAGUUUUUCCAACACUUUUGGUAAAGCUAAGGAGUCACUCACCUCAAUAGGAUUGGUAUAUUAUGGAAAGGUUUAGAUUAAAUCUUCUAUUCUUUUUGUUUCUCUUUGUUCUUUUCUUUCACCUUUUUUUUAAUGAAUUUUGUUAUAUAUUUUAUUUUUUCC
This 201-nucleotide long non-coding RNA is filed under the name Theobroma cacao (cacao). RNAcentral describes it as "long non-coding RNA (TCAC_LNC000232)". Lineage: Eukaryota; Viridiplantae; Streptophyta; Magnoliopsida; Malvales; Malvaceae. The record is from RNAcentral.